Molecule: ribosomal RNA, 156 nt
Filed under: Chelydra serpentina (North American snapping turtle)
Lineage: Eukaryota; Metazoa; Chordata; Testudines; Chelydridae
Description: 5.8S ribosomal RNA (ENSCSRG00000012592.1)
Rfam family: 5.8S ribosomal RNA
About the family: 5.8S ribosomal RNA (5.8S rRNA) is a component of the large subunit of the eukaryotic ribosome. It is transcribed by RNA polymerase I as part of the 45S precursor that also contains 18S and 28S rRNA.
Source: Rfam by way of RNAcentral
AACUCUUAGCGGUGGAUCACUCGGCUCGAGCGUCGAUGAAGAACGCAGCUAGCUGCGAGAAUUAAUGUGAAUUGCAGGACACAUUGAUCAUCGACACUUCGAACGCACUUGCGGCCCCGGGUUCCUCCCGGGGCCGCAAGUGCGUUCGAAGUGUCG